GCCUGGGUGGCUCAGUCGGUUGAGCAUCUGACUUAGGCUCAGGUCAUGAUCUCACGGCUCGUGGGUUCCAGCCCCGCACUGGGCU
Non-coding RNA from Felis catus (domestic cat), 85 nucleotides. NCBI's taxonomy places the organism in Eukaryota, Metazoa, Chordata, Mammalia, Carnivora, Felidae. The record is from Rfam.